GGAGAGGUGACCGAGUGGUCGAAGGUGCAUGAUUGGAAAUCAUGUGUACCUGCAAGGGUACCAGGGGUUCGAAUCCCCUCCUCUCCG
This is a transfer RNA of Labilithrix luteola, 87 nucleotides long. It matches the Rfam family "tRNA". Rfam says of the family: Transfer RNA (tRNA) molecules are approximately 80 nucleotides in length. Their secondary structure includes four short double-helical elements and three loops (D, anti-codon, and T loops). The record is from Rfam. NCBI's taxonomy places the organism in Bacteria, Pseudomonadati, Myxococcota, Polyangiales, Labilitrichaceae.